RNAcentral lists this ribosomal RNA (253 nucleotides) under uncultured bacterium. Its description in RNAcentral is "partial 16S ribosomal RNA". It matches the Rfam family "Bacterial small subunit ribosomal RNA", at positions 524 to 776 of the family's 1533-position model. The record is from RNAcentral.
UACGUAGGGUGCAAGCGUUGUCCGGAAUUAUUGGGCGUAAAGAGCUCGUAGGCGGCCUGUCGCGUCGGCUGUGAAAACCCGGGGCUCAACCCCGGGCCUGCAGUCGAUACGGGCAGACUGGAGGUAUGCAGGGGAGAACGGAAUUCCUGGUGUAGCGGUGAAAUGCGCAGAUAUCAGGAGGAACACCGGUGGCGAAGGCGGCUUUCUGGGACGGUACUGACGCUGAGACGCGAAAGCGUGGGGAGCGAACAGG